AUGCCCCUCCCUUUGCUCCACCCCAACUACCCCACUACAUCUUCUUAUUUCCCACGAAAGAACUCCCUCCCCCUGGACGAUUUCCCAUCGCCAUGCCUGCCAUGGCAAUUGAAGCAAACUGGAACUCAAGUGGUUUUUCCUUGUUUUGUUUCCAAUAAGAAGAGACAAAAGAGUAGGAAUACGUACCAGGAAGCGCCAGGAGUAGGAAAAAGGUUCAAGGACGAAUGCAUAAUUAGAUGCACAGGUACAUAUACCGAAGAACUACAGAAGCACCAAGUAAAGAAUGAUGAAACACAGUUGUACUAA
Molecule: ribosomal RNA, 306 nt
Filed under: Triticum aestivum (bread wheat)
Lineage: Eukaryota; Viridiplantae; Streptophyta; Magnoliopsida; Poales; Poaceae
Description: partial small subunit ribosomal RNA
Source: RNAcentral